UACGUAGGGUGCAAGCGUUGUCCGGAAUUAUUGGGCGUAAAGAGCUUGUAGGCGGUUUGUCGCGUCUGCUGUGAAAUUUCGGGGCUCAACCCCGAACUUGCAGUGGGUACGGGCAGACUAGAGUGUGGUAGGGGAGACUGGAAUUCCUGGUGUAGCAGUGAAAUGCGUAGAUAUCAGGAGGAAUACCGAUGGCGAAGGCAGGUCUCUGGGCUGACACUGACGCUCAUGCGCGAAAGCGUGGGGAGCAAACAGG
RNAcentral lists this ribosomal RNA (253 nucleotides) under uncultured bacterium. RNAcentral describes it as "partial 16S ribosomal RNA". It matches the Rfam family "Bacterial small subunit ribosomal RNA", at positions 524 to 776 of the family's 1533-position model. The record is from RNAcentral.